Plectropomus leopardus (leopard coralgrouper) is the source of this 531-nucleotide non-coding RNA. Lineage: Eukaryota; Metazoa; Chordata; Actinopteri; Perciformes; Serranidae. The record is from RefSeq and is a predicted model, not a curated record.
ACAUAAUUUUAAUAAAGUCUACCUUAUGCUAAUGACCACAGUCAAACACGUCUGCGACGUUACAUGACGCAGGUGCUCGCUUAACACGCUAAUGCCCUCGUGCGUCCGUCAGAGCUUUGACUAGGGGGGUUUUACAUUCAAAGGACUUUCUACUAUUUUUGACAAUAAACAGUAAUGUGACCGCAUUCAGCUCAACAUUUUGGAAAACGCGGAGGAGCGCAGUGGCACAAAAAUGACCAGUGGACUGUUAUAUUCACGUUAUGCAUUAAAAUGAACGAGCAGAGAAGUUUGAGGAAGCGCAGACUAAAUCGGGGACUUCUCGUGGACACAGCUCACGGAGUGACUCAUACAGUGCAAAUGGAGGACUUCGCGUGGACAGCUCACUGACUCAUACAGAGUUCAUUGAUGCCUGAGACAGUCCAGUGGUUAAGGACAUCGACCGCCAACAUAGAAAGGAGAAUCAUUCACCUGCUGGUGGCGAACAAGGAUCAGUUCACACAGAAGAAAUAUGUUGUCAAGCAGCUGUCGGAG